GCGUCGAGCGGCGGACGGGUGAGUAAUGCCUAGGAAAUUGCCCUGAUGUGGGGGAUAACCAUUGGAAACGAUGGCUAAUACCGCAUGAUGCCUACGGGCCAAAGAGGGGGACCUUCGGGCCUCUCGCGUCAGGAUAUGCCUAGGUGGGAUUAGCUAGUUGGUGAGGUAAGGGCUCACCAAGGCGACGAUCCCUAGCUGGUCUGAGAGGAUGAUCAGCCACACUGGAACUGAGACACGGUCCAGACUCCUACGGGAGGCAGCAGUGGGGAAUAUUGCACAAUGGGCGCAAGCCUGAUGCAGCCAUGCCGCGUGUGUGAAGAAGGCCUUCGGGUUGUAAAGCACUUUCAGUCGUGAGGAAGGUGGUGUAGUUAAUAGCUGCAUCAUUUGACGUUAGCGACAGAAGAAGCACCGGCUAACUCCGUGCCAGCAGCCGCGGUAAUACGGAGGGUGCGAGCGUUAAUCGGAAUUACUGGGCGUAAAGCGCAUGCAGGUGGUUUGUUAAGUCAGAUGUGAAAGCCCGGGGCUCAACCUCGGAAUUGCAUUUGAAACUGGCAGACUAGAGUACUGUAGAGGGGGGUAGAAUUUCAGGUGUAGCGGUGAAAUGCGUAGAGAUCUGAAGGAAUACCGGUGGCGAAGGCGGCCCCCUGGACAGAUACUGACACUCAGAUGCGAAAGCGUGGGGAGCAAACAGGAUUAGAUACCCUGGUAGUCCACGCCGUAAACGAUGUCUACUUGGAGGUUGUGGCCUUGAGCCGUGGCUUUCGGAGCUAACGCGUUAAGUAGACCGCCUGGGGAGUACGGUCGCAAGAUUAAAACUCAAAUGAAUUGACGGGGGCCCGCACAAGCGGUGGAGCAUGUGGUUUAAUUCGAUGCAACGCGAAGAACCUUACCUACUCUUGACAUCCAGAGAACUUUCCAGAGAUGGAUUGGUGCCUUCGGGAACUCUGAGACAGGUGCUGCAUGGCUGUCGUCAGCUCGUGUUGUGAAAUGUUGGGUUAAGUCCCGCAACGAGCGCAACCCUUAUCCUUGUUUGCCAGCGAGUAAUGUCGGGAACUCCAGGGAGACUGCCGGUGAUAAACCGGAGGAAGGUGGGGACGACGUCAAGUCAUCAUGGCCCUUACGAGUAGGGCUACACACGUGCUACAAUGGCGCAUACAGAGGGCAGCCAACUUGCGAAAGUGAGCGAAUCCCAAAAAGUGCGUCGUAGUCCGGAUUGGAGUCUGCAACUCGACUCCAUGAAGUCGGAAUCGCUAGUAAUCGUGGAUCAGAAUGCCACGGUGAAUACGUUCCCGGGCCUU
This 1298-nucleotide ribosomal RNA is filed under the name Vibrio parahaemolyticus. Its description in RNAcentral is "bacterial SSU rRNA". It matches the Rfam family "Bacterial small subunit ribosomal RNA", at positions 88 to 1382 of the family's 1533-position model. The record is from RNAcentral. Lineage: Bacteria; Pseudomonadati; Pseudomonadota; Gammaproteobacteria; Vibrionales; Vibrionaceae.